UUUGUGCUGAAAUCCUACUAUUUUAUAUCCUGAAAAUCCAGAGUUCUUGCGAGAGCACAAUUUUAAUUUGUUCAGCGAGUCACUCUGGCAUUCAGGAAUGAUGCUCAUUAACUAUACCCUUGUAGCCAAGCUGCACCAAUUACAUCGGUGUAUCUGAUGUAGGCGGGUCAGAGGCGAGC
Long non-coding RNA from Etheostoma spectabile (orangethroat darter), 179 nucleotides. RefSeq lists it as uncharacterized. Lineage: Eukaryota; Metazoa; Chordata; Actinopteri; Perciformes; Percidae. The record is from RefSeq and is a predicted model, not a curated record. The transcript has 3 exons.